AAGAUUGUGUAGUGGUUUUAAAUUUUGUGUCUCCAUUGAUAUAUUUUUUUUUUUUUUUUUUUUUUUUUUUUUUUGACAUCUUUGGAUCGACAAGGCCCGAUCCAUAGCCAAUCCCUACUACGCGGGGUAACGCGAUUUAGUGGAGUCGAACUCCGGUGGGGAAGGCGGAGUCAAGUGGACUUAACCACUUGACUAAAGG
RNAcentral lists this long non-coding RNA (199 nucleotides) under Arabidopsis lyrata. RNAcentral's name for it is "long non-coding RNA (ALYR_LNC000916)". The record is from RNAcentral. Lineage: Eukaryota; Viridiplantae; Streptophyta; Magnoliopsida; Brassicales; Brassicaceae.